UACGAAGGGAGCUAGCGUUGUUCGGAAUUACUGGGCGUAAAGGGCGCGUAGGCGGCCCUGUAAGUCAGAUGUGAAAGCCCUGGGCUCAACCUGGGAACUGCAUUUGAUACUGCGGGGCUAGAGAUCGAGAGAGGAAAGUGGAAUUACGAGUGUAGAAGUGAAAUUCGUAGAUAUUCGUAGGAACACCGGUGGCGAAGGCGACUUUCUGGCUCGAUACUGACGCUAAAGCGCGAAAGCGUGGGGAGCAAACAGG
RNAcentral lists this ribosomal RNA (253 nucleotides) under uncultured bacterium. RNAcentral's name for it is "partial 16S ribosomal RNA". It matches the Rfam family "Bacterial small subunit ribosomal RNA", at positions 524 to 776 of the family's 1533-position model. The record is from RNAcentral.